Molecule: ribosomal RNA, 433 nt
Filed under: uncultured bacterium
Lineage: Bacteria
Description: partial 16S ribosomal RNA
Rfam family: Bacterial small subunit ribosomal RNA
Source: RNAcentral
AACGAACGCUGGCGGCAGGCCUAACACAUGCAAGUCGAGCGCGCCCUUCGGGGUGAGCGGCGGACGGGUGAGUAACGCGUGGGAACGUGCCCUUUUCUACGGAAUAGCCUCGGGAAACUGAGAGUAAUACCGUAUACGCCCUUUGGGGGAAAGAUUUAUCGGAAAAGGAUCGGCCCGCGUUGGAUUAGGUAGUUGGUGGGGUAAUGGCCUACCAAGCCGACGAUCCAUAGCUGGUUUGUGAGGAUGAUCAGCCACACUGGGACUGAGACACGGCCCAGACUCCUACGGGAGGCAGCAGUGGGGAAUCUUAGACAAUGGGGGCAACCCUGAUCUAGCCAUGCCGCGUGAGUGAUGAAGGCCUUAGGGUUGUAAAGCUCUUUCAGCUGGGAAGAUAAUGACGGUACCAGCAGAAGAAGCCCCGGCUAACUCCGUG